Molecule: non-coding RNA, 72 nt
Organism: Daphnia pulex (common water flea)
Lineage: Eukaryota; Metazoa; Arthropoda; Branchiopoda; Diplostraca; Daphniidae
Source: Rfam
GGGGUUGUAACUCAGUGGUAGAGUGUACGCUUUGCAUGCGACAAGGCCGGAGUUCAAUCCUCCGCAACUCCA